This 460-nucleotide ribosomal RNA is filed under the name uncultured bacterium. RNAcentral's name for it is "bacterial SSU rRNA". It matches the Rfam family "Bacterial small subunit ribosomal RNA", at positions 339 to 797 of the family's 1533-position model. The record is from RNAcentral.
GUACGGGAGGCAGCAGUGGGGAAUAUUGGGCAAUGGAGGCAACUCUGACCCAGCCAUGCCGCGUGCAGGAAGAAGGCGUUAUGCGUUGUAAACUGCUUUUAUAUAGGAAGAAAGAGUUCUUGCGAGAACAGUUGACGGUACUAUAUGAAUAAGCACCGGCUAACUCCGUGCCAGCAGCCGCGGUAAUACGGAGGGUGCAAGCGUUGUCCGGAUUUAUUGGGUUUAAAGGGUGCGUAGGCGGUUUAUUAAGUCAGUGGUGAAAGACGGUCGCUCAACGAUUGCAGUGCCAUUGAUACUGGUAGACUUGAGUGAGUUUGAGGUAACUGGAAUGGAUAGUGUAGCGGUGAAAUGCAUAGAUAUUAUCCAGAACACCAAUUGCGUAGGCAAGUUACUAAGACUCAACUGACGCUGAGGCACGAAAGUGUGGGUAUCAAACAGGAUUAGAAACCCCUGUAGUCCC